This 1208-nucleotide ribosomal RNA is filed under the name metagenome. RNAcentral describes it as "bacterial SSU rRNA". It matches the Rfam family "Bacterial small subunit ribosomal RNA", at positions 311 to 1498 of the family's 1533-position model. The record is from RNAcentral.
CACUGGGACUGAGACACUGCCCAGACUCCUACGGGAGGCUGCAGUCGAGGAUCAUUCGCAAUGCGCGAAAGCGUGACGGUGCGACGCCGCGUGCAGGAUGAAGGCCUUCGGGCCGUAAACUGCUGUCAUGAGGGAACAAUGUCCGGGAUGUGAACAUCAUCUCGGGGUGAUAGUACCUCAAGAGGAAGCCACGGCUAACUCUGUGCCAGCAGCCGCGGUAAUACAGAGGCGGCGAGCGUUGUUCGGAUUUACUGGGCGUAAAGGGUGCGUAGGCGGUUCUGUGUGUCGGACGUGAAAUCUCACAGCUCAACUGUGGAAUUGCAUUUGAAACUACAGGGCUGGAGUACAGGAGAGGAGAGCGGAAUUCUCGGUGUAGCGGUGAAAUGCGUAGAUAUCGAGAGGAACACCGGUGGCGAAGGCGGCUCUCUGGACUGAUACUGACGCUGAGGCACGAAAGCUGGGGGAGCAAACAGGAUUAGAUACCCUGGUAGUCCCAGCCCUAAACGGUGUGCACUUGGUGUGGGGGGGAUUGUCCCUUCCUGUGCCGGAGCUAACGCGUUAAGUGCACCGCCUGGGGAGUACGGUCGCAAGAUUAAAACUCAAAGGAAUUGACGGGGGCCCGCACAAGCGGUGGAGCAUGUGGCUUAAUUCGAUCCACGCGAAGAACCUUACCUGGGCUUGACAUGCUGGUAGUAGAAACCUGAAAGGGUGACGAGCCCGCAAGGGAAGCCAGCACAGGUGCUGCAUGGCUGUCGUCAGCUCGUGCCGUGAGGUGUUAGGUUAAGUCCUGCAACGAGCGCAACCCCUGUGGUUAGUUGCUACAUUCGGUGAUGAAUCGGACAGCACUCUAAUCAGACUGCCUGUGAAAAGCAGGAGGAAGGUGGGGAUGACGUCAAGUCAGUAUGGUCCUUAUGUCCAGGGCUGCACACGUGCUACAAUGAUCGGUACAGAAGGAUGCAAGACCGCGAGGUGGAGCAAAUCCCCAAAACCGAUCUCAGUUCAGAUUGAAGGCUGCAACUCGCCUUCAUGAAGCUGGAAUCGCUAGUAAUGGCGCAUCAGCUACGGCGCCGUGAAUACGUUCCCGGGCCUUGUACACACCGCCCGUCACAUCAUGAGAGUCGACUGCACCCGAAGUCGUCUAUACAACCCGCAAGGGAGAAAGAUGCCGAAGGUGUGGUUGAUGAUUGGGAUGAAGUCGAAACAAGGUA